UACAGAGACUGCGAGCGUUAUUCGGAUUCACUGGGCGUAAAGGGCGCGCAGGCGGCCAAGUGUGUGAGGCGUGAAAGCCCGGGGCUUAACCCCGGAAUUGCACCGCAAACUACAUGGCUAGAGCAUUGGAGAGGGUAGCAGAAUUCACGGUGUAGCAGUGAAAUGCGUAGAUAUCGUGAGGAAUACCAGAGGCGAAGGCGGCUACCUGGACAAUUGCUGACGCUCAGGCACGAAAGCGUGGGGAGCAAAAGGG
This 253-nucleotide ribosomal RNA is filed under the name uncultured bacterium. RNAcentral's name for it is "partial 16S ribosomal RNA". It matches the Rfam family "Bacterial small subunit ribosomal RNA", at positions 524 to 776 of the family's 1533-position model. The record is from RNAcentral.